Molecule: non-coding RNA, 141 nt
Organism: Bacidia gigantensis
Lineage: Eukaryota; Fungi; Ascomycota; Lecanoromycetes; Lecanorales; Ramalinaceae
Source: the annotation of a RefSeq genome assembly
GCUCAGGUGGUGCAAUGGUAGCAUAUCAGGAACCCAUCAGUGCAGCCUUCGGGUGUUUGCAGACCCUCGUGAUCAGCUGUGUAACUGCCUUUUCUAGGCUCUUACUCCUGAUGAUUCGAGAUUCGAGCCCUCGUCUGAGCA